Molecule: long non-coding RNA, 657 nt
Organism: Cydia splendana
Lineage: Eukaryota; Metazoa; Arthropoda; Insecta; Lepidoptera; Tortricidae
Exons: 2
Source: RefSeq, a predicted model, not a curated record
UAGACAGCCGGUUCCGUAUGGACAUUUUGACCCCUGCACUUUCCAGCGUUUGAACAUUUUUUAACGUUGACUGCCCACUCCCGGAAUGCCCUCUAGUAGUAGAAGGUAUUGUCAUACAAUGAAUGGUAUUAUAAUUUUUUUUUUCAUAUAUAUACUAUGGACAUUCCUCGAUGGCAUCAAGUUGCAACCGGAAAGCGAUGAUCACACGGCAAAUCAAAUCCUGAAGACUAUAGCAGCCACGUCAAAGAAAGAUAUACCUAUCUACCUACCUACCUACCUACCUAUUAAAAAAAAUGUUUAUUCUUUCUCGUUUGAUAUGGAGUGCGCAAAAGAAUUGCACGACCUGAUCCCAGCUUUCCCUUUCCGGACGUCCAGGCGCGAGGAGCGAAUGCACCCGUUCGUUGUUAAUAUUCCAUUUGUCCGCACAAAACGAUUUGCCUCAUCUUUUUUGGUAAGGACGAUUAAGGAAUGGAAUGCGCUUCCGUCAUCUGUGUUUCCUGGGAAAUUUGACCUCGGUCUCUUUAAAGCAAGAGUGAAUAGGCUAUUACUUACUGAGCCGGUAAGCUCCAUCAUCUUAGGCUCUGUUUUCACUUUCCAUCAGGUGUGACUAGAGCCAAUGCCCGUUCAGUUUAUUAUAAAAAAUAUAUAUACAAAGAG